GACGAACGCUGGCGGCGUGCUUAACACAUGCAAGUCGAGCGGUAAGGCCCUUUCGGGGGUACACGAGCGGCGAACGGGUGAGUAACACGUGGGUGACCUGCCCUCAGCUCUGGGAUAAGCCUGGGAAACCGGGUCUAAUACUGGAUAUGACUCCAUGACGCAUGUUGUGGGGUGGAAAGCCUUGUGCGGCUGAGGAUGGGCCCGCGGCCUAUCAGCUUGUUGGUGGGGUGANGGCCUACCAAGGCGACGACGGGUAGCCGGCCUGAGAGGGCGACCGGCCAUACUGGGACUGAGACACGGCCCAGACUCCUACGGGAGGCAGCAGUGGGAACCUUGCGCAAUGGGCGAAAGCCUGACGCAGCGACGCCGCGUGAGGAAUGACGGCCU
RNAcentral lists this ribosomal RNA (387 nucleotides) under uncultured bacterium. RNAcentral's name for it is "bacterial SSU rRNA". It matches the Rfam family "Bacterial small subunit ribosomal RNA", at positions 28 to 417 of the family's 1533-position model. The record is from RNAcentral.